UACGGAAGGCAGCAGUGGGGAAUAUUGCACAAUGGGCGCAAGCCUGAUGCAGCCAUGCCGCGUGUAUGAAGAAGGCCUUCGGGUUGUAAAGUACUUUCAGUCGUGAGGAAGGUGUUAAGGUUAAUAACCUUAGCAAUUGACGUUAGCGACAGAAGAAGCACCGGCUAACUCCGUGCCAGCAGCCGCGGUAAUACGGAGGGUGCGAGCGUUAAUCGGAAUUACUGGGCGUAAAGGGCACGCAGGCGGUUAAUUAAGUUGGAUGUGAAAUCCCCGGGCUUAACCUGGGAAUGGCAUUCAAGACUGGUUAGCUAGAGUCUUGUAGAGGGGGUGAAUUCCAUGUGUAGCGGUGAAAUGCGUAGAGAUGUGGAGGAAUACCGGUGGCGAAGGCGGCCCCUGGCAAAGGACUGACGCUCAUGUGCGAAAGCGUGGGGAGCAAACAGGGAUUAGAUACC
RNAcentral lists this ribosomal RNA (452 nucleotides) under uncultured bacterium. RNAcentral describes it as "bacterial SSU rRNA". It matches the Rfam family "Bacterial small subunit ribosomal RNA", at positions 340 to 786 of the family's 1533-position model. The record is from RNAcentral.